RNAcentral lists this ribosomal RNA (1013 nucleotides) under Purpureocillium takamizusanense. Its description in RNAcentral is "SSU rRNA". It matches the Rfam family "Eukaryotic small subunit ribosomal RNA", at positions 82 to 1106 of the family's 1831-position model. Lineage: Eukaryota; Fungi; Ascomycota; Sordariomycetes; Hypocreales; Ophiocordycipitaceae. The record is from RNAcentral.
CGAAACUGCGAAUGGCUCAUUAUAUAAGUUAUCGUUUAUUUGAUAGCACCUUACUACUUGGAUAACCGUGGUAAUUCUAGAGCUAAUACAUGCUAAAAAUCCCGACUUCGGAAGGGAUGUAUUUAUUAGAUUAAAAACCAAUGCCCUCUGGGCUCUCUGGUGAUUCAUGAUAACUUCUCGAAUCGCAUGGCCUUGCGCCGGCGAUGGUUCAUUCAAAUUUCUUCCCUAUCAACUUUCGAUGUUUGGGUAGUGGCCAAACAUGGUUGCAACGGGUAACGGAGGGUUAGGGCUCGACCCCGGAGAAGGAGCCUGAGAAACGGCUACUACAUCCAAGGAAGGCAGCAGGCGCGCAAAUUACCCAAUCCCGACACGGGGAGGUAGUGACAAUAAAUACUGAUACAGGGCUCUUUUGGGUCUUGUAAUUGGAAUGAGUACAAUUUAAAUCCCUUAACGAGGAACAAUUGGAGGGCAAGUCUGGUGCCAGCAGCCGCGGUAAUUCCAGCUCCAAUAGCGUAUAUUAAAGUUGUUGUGGUUAAAAAGCUCGUAGUUGAACCUUGGGCCUGGCUGGCCGGUCCGCCUCACCGCGUGCACUGGUCCGGCCGGGCCUUUCCCUCUGUGGAACCCCAUGCCCUUCACUGGGUGUGGCGGGGAAACAGGACUUUUACUUUGAAAAAAUUAGAGUGCUCCAGGCAGGCCUAUGCUCGAAUACAUUAGCAUGGAAUAAUGAAAUAGGACGUGCGGUUCUAUUUUGUUGGUUUCUAGGACCGCCGUAAUGAUUAAUAGGGACAGUCGGGGGCAUCAGUAUUCAAUUGUCAGAGGUGAAAUUCUUGGAUUUAUUGAAGACUAACUACUGCGAAAGCAUUUGCCAAGGAUGUUUUCAUUAAUCAGGAACGAAAGUUAGGGGAUCGAAGACGAUCAGAUACCGUCGUAGUCUUAACCAUAAACUAUGCCGACUAGGGAUCGGACGAUGUUAUUUUUUGACUCGUUCGGCACCUUACGAGAAAUCAAAGUGC